This 62-nucleotide transfer RNA is filed under the name Acropora cervicornis. RNAcentral describes it as "tRNA-OTHER". It matches the Rfam family "tRNA", at positions 7 to 64 of the family's 71-position model. Rfam says of the family: Transfer RNA (tRNA) molecules are approximately 80 nucleotides in length. Their secondary structure includes four short double-helical elements and three loops (D, anti-codon, and T loops). The record is from RNAcentral. Lineage: Eukaryota; Metazoa; Cnidaria; Anthozoa; Scleractinia; Acroporidae.
GUAGCUCAGUCGGUGGAGCACCAGUGAUCAAACCUGAAGGUCGUGGGUUCAAUUCCCACCCU